GACGAACGCUGGCGGCGUGCUUAACACAUGCAAGUCGAACGGAAAGGCCCUGCUUGCAGGGUACUCGAGUGGCGAACGGGUGAGUAACACGUGGGUGAUCUGCCCUGCACUUCGGGAUAAGCCUGGGAAACUGGGUCUAAUACCGGAUAUGACCUUCCAUGUAGUGUGGGGGGUGGAAAGAUUUAUCGGUGUGGGAUGAGCCCGCGGCCUAUCAGCUUGUUGGUGGGGUAAUGGCCUACCAAGGCGUCGACGGGUAGCCGGCCUGAGAGGGUGGACGGCCACAUUGGGACUGAGAUACGGCCCAGACUCCUACGGGAGGCAGCAGUGGGGAAUAUUGCACAAUGGGCGGAAGCCUUAUGCAGCGACGCCGCGUGGGGGAUGACGGCCUUCGGGUUGUAAACCUCCUUCGACAGGGACGAAGCUUCGGUGACGGUACCUGUAUAAGAAGCACCGGCUAACUACGCG
This 465-nucleotide ribosomal RNA is filed under the name uncultured bacterium. Its description in RNAcentral is "partial 16S ribosomal RNA". It matches the Rfam family "Bacterial small subunit ribosomal RNA", at positions 28 to 507 of the family's 1533-position model. The record is from RNAcentral.